UGGGUCUCGCUCGUUACCUGACUUAACAGGAUGCUUCACAGUACGAACUGACGACGGCCAUGCACCACCUCUCAGCUAAUCCGGCAAAGUCUUCAGCCUGGCCUUCAUAUUGCUGUCGGUCCCGGUAAGAUUUCCGGCGUUGAAUCCAAUUAAACCGCAAGCUCCACCCGUUGUGGUGCUCCCCCGCCAAUUCCUUUAAGUUUCAGCCUUGCGGCCGUACUUCCCAGGUGGCUCGCUUCACGGCUUCCCUACGGCACCGACAACGGUCGCACCGUGGCCGACACCUAGCGAGUAUCGUUUACGGCUAGGACUACCCGGGUAUCUAAUCCGGUUCGUGCCCCUAGCUUUCGUCCCUUGCCGUCAGGUCCGUUCUGGUGAGACGCCUUCGCCACUGGUGGUCCUUCAAGGAUUACAAGAUUUCACCCCUUACCCCUGAAGUACCUCUCACCUCUCCCGGCCUCGAGCCAGACAGUAUCUCCUGAAAGCCUGACAGUUAAGCUGCCAGAUUUCUCAAGAGACUUAUCCGGCCGGCUACAGACCCUUUAGACCCAAUAAUAACGGUUACCACUCGAGCCGCCGGUGUUACCGCGGCGGCUGGCACCGGUCUUGCCCGGCCCUUGCUAUGAAAUGCUUUUUAGGCAUCUCGACAGCCAGAUUUGUAACCUGGCACUCGAGGUUCCCUUAUCGCUGUUGCCAGCAUUGUAAAGUUUUCGCGCCUGCUGCACCCCGUAGGGCCUGGAUUCGUGUCUCAGAAUCCAUCUCCGGGCUCUUGCUCUCACAACCCGUACCCGUCGUAGGCUAGUAGGUACGCUACACCCACUACUACCUGAUAGGCCGCAGACCCAUCCUUAGGCGCCGGAGCUUUUAAUCUCGGUGCAUUCCAGCAGCCGAGACUUAUAGGGGAUUAUACCCAGUUUCCCGGGUUUAUACCCAACCUAAGGGCAGGUUGUCCACGUGCUACUGAGCAGUACGCCAUGUAUUGCUACAUUCGACUCGCAUGGCUUAGUCGAACCUCGAUAGCAGUAACCUCUGGCAGGAUCAACCGGA
This 1047-nucleotide ribosomal RNA is filed under the name unidentified archaeon. Its description in RNAcentral is "16S ribosomal RNA". The record is from RNAcentral.